UUCCCCUAGUAACUGCGAGUGAAGCGGGAAAAGCUCAAAUUUAAAAUCUGAGGGUCCUUGUGGCCUUCCGAGUUGUAAUCUAGAGAAGUGCUAUCCGCGCUGGACCGUGUACAAGUCUCCUGGAACGGAGCGUCAUAGAGGGUGAGAAUCCCGUCUUUGACACGGACUACCAGGGCUUUGUGAUGUGCUCUCAAAGAGUCGAGUUGUUUGGGAAUGCAGCUCUAAAUGGGUGGUAAAUUCCAUCUAAAGCUAAAUAUUGGCGAGAGACCGAUAGCGAACAAGUACCGUGAGGGAAAGAUGAAAAGAACUUUGGAAAGAGAGUUAAACAGUACGUGAAAUUGUUGAAAGGGAAACGCUUGAAGUCAGUCGCGUUGGCCAGGAAUCAACCUUGCUUUUGCUUGGCGUACUUUCUGGUUAACGGGUCAGCAUCAAUUUUGACCGGUGGAUAAAGGUUAGGGGAAUGUGGCAUCCUCGGAUGUGUUAUAGCCUCUGGUCGCAUACAUCGGUUGGGAUUGAGGAACUCAGCACGCCGCAAGGCCGGGUUUUAACCACGUACGUGCUUAGGAUGCUGGCAUAAUGGCUUUAAUCGACCCGUCUUGAAACACGGACCAAGGAGUCUAACAUGCACGCGAGUGUUUGGGUGGAAAACCCGAGCGCGUAAUGAAAGUGAAAAUUGAGAUCCCUGUCGCGGGGAGCAUCGAUGCCUGGACUUGAUCUUUUGUGACGGUUCCACGGUUGAGCGUGUAUGCUGGGACCCGAAAGAUGGUGAACUAUGCCUGAAUAGGGUGAAGCCAGAGGAAACUCUGGUGGAGGCUCGUAGCGAUUCUGACGUGCAAAUCGAUCGUCAAAUUUGGGUAUAGGGGCGAAAGACU
RNAcentral lists this ribosomal RNA (872 nucleotides) under Tricholoma imbricatum. Its description in RNAcentral is "eukaryotic LSU rRNA". It matches the Rfam family "Eukaryotic large subunit ribosomal RNA", at positions 75 to 932 of the family's 3401-position model. Lineage: Eukaryota; Fungi; Basidiomycota; Agaricomycetes; Agaricales; Tricholomataceae. The record is from RNAcentral.